UACGAAGGGGGCUAGCGUUGUUCGGAAUUACUGGGCGUAAAGCGCAUGUAGGCGGGUCGUUAAGUCGGGGGUGAAAGCCCAGAGCUCAACUCUGGAACUGCCUUCGAUACUGGCGACCUGGACCCAAGGAGAGGCGAGUGGAAUUGCGAGUGUAGAGGUGAAAUUCGUAGAUAUUCGCAGGAACACCAGUGGCGAAGGCGACUCGCUGGACUUGUGGUGACGCUGAGAUGCGAAAGCGUGGGGAGCAAACAGGAUUAGAACCGACGG
RNAcentral lists this ribosomal RNA (267 nucleotides) under uncultured bacterium. Its description in RNAcentral is "partial 16S ribosomal RNA". It matches the Rfam family "Bacterial small subunit ribosomal RNA", at positions 524 to 793 of the family's 1533-position model. The record is from RNAcentral.